AUUGAACGCUGGCGGAAUGCUUUACACAUGCAAGUCGAACGGCAGCACGGACUUCGGUCUGGUGGCGAGUGGCGAACGGGUGAGUAAUGUAUCGGAACGUGCUCAGUCGUGGGGGAUAACGUAGUGAAAAUUACGCUAAUACCGCAUACGAUCUAUGGAUGAAAGCGGGGGAUCGCAAGACCUCGCGCGAUUGGAGCGACCGAUAUCAGAUUAGGUAGUUGGUGGGGUAAAGGCUCACCAAGCCAACGAUCUGUAGCUGGUCUGUGAGGACAACCAGCCACACUGGACCUGAGACACGGUCCAGGCGCCUACGGGAGGCAGCAGUGGGGAAUUUUGGACAAUGGGCGAAAGCCUGAUCCAGCCAUUCCGCGUGCAGGAUGAAGGCCCUCGGGUUAUAAACUGCUUUUGUACAGAACGAAAAGGUUUCUACUAAUACUAGGGGCUCAUGACGGUACUGUAAGAAUAAGCACCGGCUAACUCCGUGCCAGCGGCCGCCGUAA
Molecule: ribosomal RNA, 500 nt
Filed under: uncultured bacterium
Lineage: Bacteria
Description: partial 16S ribosomal RNA
Rfam family: Bacterial small subunit ribosomal RNA
Source: RNAcentral